This 253-nucleotide ribosomal RNA is filed under the name uncultured bacterium. RNAcentral's name for it is "partial 16S ribosomal RNA". It matches the Rfam family "Bacterial small subunit ribosomal RNA", at positions 524 to 776 of the family's 1533-position model. The record is from RNAcentral.
UACGUAGGGGGCGAGCGUUGUCCGGAAUUACUGGGCGUAAAGAGAGCGUAGGCGGCACUACAAGUCUCAUGUGAAAUACCCGGGCUUAACUUGGGGGUUGCAUGGGAAACUGUAGAGCUUGAGUACAGGAGAGGCAAGCGGAAUUCCUAGUGUAGCGGUGAAAUGCAUAGAUAUUAGGAGGAACACCAGUGGCGAAGGCGGCUUGCUGGACUGAAACUGACGCUGAGGCUCGAAAGCGUGGGUAGCAAACAGG